AAAGUGCUCAAACAAUUUGGUAUUUUUGCCUUUCCACAGGGAAAAAUAUGUCUAAAGUUUUUAAUUUUGUUUAUAUUAUAAUAAUUUUUCUUUUCUUAAUCACAGAAGGUUCAAGUUACAUUGGAUUAGAUUUAUGCAGUACUGAUAAAGAUUGUUCUGCUACUGAGUGUGGGCUUCCAGAAGUUGCAAAAUGCAUAAAGCACAUUUGUGAAUGUGUAAAAUAUUAAUGGAAUCUCUAGAAACAUGUAGUUUUUAAAUAAAAAAUAAUAAAUGGUUUUAUCAUUUCUCUCA
Molecule: long non-coding RNA, 291 nt
Organism: Vicia villosa (hairy vetch)
Lineage: Eukaryota; Viridiplantae; Streptophyta; Magnoliopsida; Fabales; Fabaceae
Exons: 2
Source: RefSeq, a predicted model, not a curated record